GAUGAACGCUGGCGGCGUGCCUAAUACAUGCAAGUCGAGCGAACAGACGAGGAGCUUGCUCCUCUGACGUUAGCGGCGAACGGGUGAGUAACACGUGGAUAACCUACCUAUAAGACUGGGAUAACUUCGGGAAACCGGAGCUAAUACCGGAUAAUAUAUUGAACCGCAUGGUUCAAUAGUGAAAGACGGUUUUGCUGUCACUUAUAGAUGGAUCCGCGCCGCAUUAGCUAGUUGGUAAGGUAACGGCUUACCAAGGCAACGAUGCGUAGCCGACCUGAGAGGGUGAUCGGCCACACUGGAACUGAGACACGGUCCAGACUCCUACGGGAGGCAGCAGUAGGGAAUCUUCCGCAAUGGGCGAAAGCUUGACGGAGCAACGCCGCGUGAGUGAUGAAGGUCUUCGGAUCGUAAAACUCUGUUAUUAGGGAAGAACAAAUGUGUAAGUAACUAUGCACGUCUUGACGGUACCUAAUCAGAAAGCCACGGCUAACUACGUG
This 497-nucleotide ribosomal RNA is filed under the name uncultured bacterium. RNAcentral's name for it is "partial 16S ribosomal RNA". It matches the Rfam family "Bacterial small subunit ribosomal RNA", at positions 28 to 507 of the family's 1533-position model. The record is from RNAcentral.